Molecule: small RNA, 69 nt
Filed under: Flavobacterium sp. 103
Lineage: Bacteria; Pseudomonadati; Bacteroidota; Flavobacteriia; Flavobacteriales; Flavobacteriaceae
Description: Flavo-1 RNA
Rfam family: Flavo-1 RNA
Source: RNAcentral
CCUUAGUCCCGAUUGCAGUGGAAAUCCCCCGCUUUUGGGCGGGGAUUGAAACGAAAAGCGGGACCUAUG